CGUGGAAAGAAAGCAGAAUUGCACAGUUUAGGAGCUACUCUAAAAACCCAGGAAACUAUCUGACAGCCUUAUGCAUGUUUCAAAAUAGCAGGUAAACUACUCAAAUCCUGAGACGUUGUAUAGAAUAAGCAACAUUCCUCCAUUCAAUUGUUGAAUAAACGAAUCUUAAAAUAAAUAAUGACAUCUGUUUCCACCUACUGCAGUGUUGUUUGGAUAUUUCACGGACUUGUUUGUUCAUAUAGAAUGUAAUUUGAAAGGCUGAUAUUUUAUUAUGAACAUAUUUAGGUUGGGAUUUAGCAGGGUCUGCAUUUUAUGAAAGGUCUAACUUGGGGUCAAGUAUUCCCUAUCCCAAAAGUGGAACUUACCAGAAUUAUCAGGGCAUACAGCUUCUCGCUUGGUGCUACUGGAAAUGCUCUUGGAUUUGUUAACGGAUUCUGCAAGGCGAUUUAGGUCAGGUUUUGGAAUCCUUGCAAAGUAAUCAGAUUUUAACUUUGACUUCCGCUAGUCUGACAAAGUACAGGAAGCCUGUUCCCUCCCACUGUGGCCUGCUCUUACCAGCUGUUUAGAAUGCGUUCUGCAGACUUCACCGGGGCUCAUGAGAUAUGCAGCUUUCAACACAGAAAGGCUGUACAGGAAGCAUGGCUGGGAAGUGAGGCCUUAGGAAACUUACAACUAGAGGGAAGGCAAAGGGGAAGCAGACACAUCCUACAUGGCUGGAGCAGGAGGAAGAGAAGGAAGAGAUCUCAUAAGAACUCACUCAGUAUCAUGAGAACAUCAGGUAAGUCUGCCCCCAUGAUCCAAUCACCUCCCACCAGACCCGUUCUCCAACAUAGGGGAUUACCAUUUGACAUGUGA
This 855-nucleotide long non-coding RNA is filed under the name Callithrix jacchus (white-tufted-ear marmoset). RNAcentral's name for it is "lncRNA (ENSCJAG00000075314.1)". Lineage: Eukaryota; Metazoa; Chordata; Mammalia; Primates; Cebidae. The record is from RNAcentral.